GGAUGAGUCCGCGUAGCAUCAGCUUGUUGGUGGGGUAAUGGCCUACCAAGGCAAAGACGCUUAGCUGGUCUGAGAGGAUGAUCAGCCACACUGGGACUGAGAUACGGCCCAG
RNAcentral lists this ribosomal RNA (112 nucleotides) under uncultured bacterium. Its description in RNAcentral is "partial 16S ribosomal RNA". It matches the Rfam family "Bacterial small subunit ribosomal RNA", at positions 223 to 334 of the family's 1533-position model. The record is from RNAcentral.